UACGUAGGUGACCAGCGUUGUCCGGAUUUACUGGGCGUAAAGAGCGCGCAGGCGGUCGUUCAAGUCGAGUGUGAAAGCCCCCGGCUCAACCGGGGAGGGUCACUCGAUACUGAUCGACUUGAAGGCAGGAGAGGGAAGCGGAAUUCCCGGUGUAGUGGUGAAAUGCGUAGAUAUCGGGAGGAACACCAGUGGCGAAGGCGGCGACCUGGGCCAAUACUGACGCUGAGGUGCGAAAGCGUGGGGAGCAAACAGG
Molecule: ribosomal RNA, 253 nt
Filed under: uncultured bacterium
Lineage: Bacteria
Description: partial 16S ribosomal RNA
Rfam family: Bacterial small subunit ribosomal RNA
Source: RNAcentral